UUGUCCGCUGUUGCCAUCAGGUUAAGCUGGGCACCCUGCGGAGACUGCCGGUGAUAAACCGGAGGAAGGUGGGGAUGACGUCAAGUCAGCAUGCCCCUUAUGUCUUGGGCUGCACACGUGCUACAAUGGUCGGUACAAUGAGCUGCGAUACCGCAAGGUGGAGCGAAUUUCAAAAAGCCGGCCUCAGUUCGGAUUGGGGUCUGCAACUCGACCCCAUGAAGUCGGAGUUGCUAGUAAUCGCAGAUCAGCAUUGCUGCGGUGAAUACGUUCCCGGGCCUU
This 279-nucleotide ribosomal RNA is filed under the name uncultured bacterium. RNAcentral's name for it is "partial 16S ribosomal RNA". It matches the Rfam family "Bacterial small subunit ribosomal RNA", at positions 1105 to 1382 of the family's 1533-position model. The record is from RNAcentral.